AGUGAACGCUGGCGGUAGGCCUAACACAUGCAAGUCGAACGGCAGCACAGUAAGAGCUUGCUCUUACGGGUGGCGAGUGGCGGACGGGUGAGGAAUACAUCGGAAUCUACUUUUUCGUGGGGGAUAACGUAGGGAAACUUACGCUAAUACCGCAUACGACCUACGGGUGAAAGCAGGGGAUCUUCGGACCUUGCGCGAUUGAAUGAGCCGAUGUCGGAUUAGCUAGUUGGCGGGGUAAAGGCCCACCAAGGCGACGAUCCGUAGCUGGUCUGAGAGGAUGAAGAGGCAGUCUGGCGCUGACGCCGGGCCACGUGAUCAACGGGGGGGAGUAGGGGGGAAUCAGAGACCAGGGUGGCAAGGCUGAAUCAGCCCGGCCGCGUGGGUGAAGCACGACUGUGGUUUGUAAAGCCUUUUUGUGGGAAAAGAAAAGCAGCAGGUUAAUCCCCCGCUGUCCUGACGGCACAAAAAGAAAAAGCACCGGCCAACUUCGCGCCAGCAGCCGCGGUAAUAAUCGGAAGAGCCCACGUCUGAAC
Molecule: ribosomal RNA, 533 nt
Filed under: uncultured bacterium
Lineage: Bacteria
Description: partial 16S ribosomal RNA
Rfam family: Bacterial small subunit ribosomal RNA
Source: RNAcentral